CGGCGGACGGGUGAGUAAAGCUUAGGAAUCUGCCUAUUAGUGGGGGACAACAUUCCGAAAGGGAUGCUAAUACCGCAUACGUCCUACGGGAGAAAGCAGGGGAUCACUUGUGACCUUGCGCUAAUAGAUGAGCCUAAGUCGGAUUAGCUAGUUGGUGGGGUAAAGGCCUACCAAGGCGACGAUCUGUAGCGGGUCUGAGAGGAUGAUCCGCCACACUGGGACUGAGACACGGCCCAGACUCCUACGGGAGGCAGCAGUGGGGAAUAUUGGACAAUGGGGGGAACCCUGAUCCAGCCAUGCCGCGUGUGUGAAGAAGGCCUUUUGGUUGUAAGGCACUUUAAGCGAGGAGGAGGCUUACCUGGUUAAUACCUGGGCUAAGUGGACGUUACUCGCAGAAUAAGCACCGGCUAACUCUGUGCCAGCAGCCGCGGUAAUACAGAGGGUGCGAGCGUUAAUCGGAUUUACUGGGCGUAAAGCGCGCGUAGGUGGUUAAUUAAGUCAAAUGUGAAAUCCCCGAGCUUAACUUGGGAAUUGCAUUCGAUACUGGUUAGCUAGAGUAUGGGAGAGGAUGGUAGAAUUCCAGGUGUAGCGGUGAAAUGCGUAGAGAUCUGGAGGAAUACCGAUGGCGAAGGCAGCCAUCUGGCCUAAUACUGACACUGAGGUGCGAAAGCAUGGGGAGCAAACAGGAUUAGAUACCCUGGUAGUCCAUGCCGUAAACGAUGUCUACUAGCCGUUGGGGGAUUUGAUCCUUUAGUGGCGCAGCUAACGCGAUAAGUAGACCGCCUGGGGAGUACGGUCGCAAGACUAAAACUCAAAUGAAUUGACGGGGGCCCGCACAAGCGGUGGAGCAUGUGGUUUAAUUCGAUGCAACGCGAGAACCUUACCUGGCCCUUGA
RNAcentral lists this ribosomal RNA (895 nucleotides) under uncultured bacterium. Its description in RNAcentral is "bacterial SSU rRNA". It matches the Rfam family "Bacterial small subunit ribosomal RNA", at positions 96 to 984 of the family's 1533-position model. The record is from RNAcentral.